Molecule: long non-coding RNA, 2919 nt
Organism: Oreochromis aureus
Lineage: Eukaryota; Metazoa; Chordata; Actinopteri; Cichliformes; Cichlidae
Source: Ensembl
UUACAGGGGAGACUCUCGCAAACGUCUAAAACAUUCAGCGUGGCCAAAGGAUUCAUGUCACUGCUCGGGUUCGUUGUCAUCUUUAUUGUGUCUGUGUGUGAUCCCAGGGGUUUUGUUGUCAUGUUGGACAAAGUUGUGUCGUUCUCCCUCAACACUGAAGUGGGACUGUUUGUCUUCAUCAUGCUGAGAGAAUCCAGAGAGGACAGAUUCCAACAGCUUGCUGUCCCUCUGCCACUGGGCGACUGCGCGUUCAGCCUCAGCUGGCUGCUGCCCACCUACUUCCUGUUUGCAGUAACCUACGACGUCCUGCAGACCCUGGCGGAUCUGGCUCAUUAUAUGCAUUUCUACAACCACGAUCAGGAGCCACACAUUUACAAUCUGACGGGGAGUUUAGCAGCAGCCAAUCUCUCCACCCUCCUCUGAUCUAAGCAGCUAGUUAAGGCACAAACUGGUAGGAGUUAAAAUUGCCAAAAUGACAAGCUUAGCACCUUUGUUUGUUUUUUUUUAUUUGUGCACUGCACUUUCCCAAAAAACGUGUAUGUAUCAAUCUAACAGUCAGCUGCAGCUGCAGAGGGCUCUCUUCUGUUAUCUCACAGUGGCCAUCCUUGCUCAAGUUAGCGACACAGUAGAGAUCAAAAUUUCAGACUGUUUUUUUUUUUCCUUUCAGUGGCCUUCAUGGCAUAUUAGCUGUAGAUUUAGGACUCAUCUAGGGUUUUACUCAAAAUAAUGAAGUGUGGACCCAGUGUGUAACUACAGUGAUCGAAAUUAGAUAAAAGUUUUUGUUGCUAUAAAACAAUAGACAUCUAAAAAUUAAAUUCCUGAUCAUUAAGAACUGUAGAAGCCAUCUUAAUUGGAGCGGCUGGCAGAUCUGCAGCGUGGAUGUUACCAAUUCCACGCCUGCUCCGUUUGAUUUCGUCCCGCUGUUUCUUCAUCUCGUCCUCAGUCUACUAACCGUUGUGGAUUUCUUAGCCAUAGCAUUGUCCUCAGCAGUCAACCAGAGAUUCUCGAUUGGGUUUAGUUCAGGAUUCAGGGUUUGCUAUUUCAUUAUUUCAGGCUUAACAGCUGCAAGGAAGUGCUUUCCCAGUUCUGCAGAGUGAUUACGGAGCAUUGUCUUGCAUAAAUAUUGUUGGCUGAUUAGAAGCUGAUGUCAGGGAGGGAAUAAUCUGUGUUGAAGGAGCUUCUGCGGGACAUUAGCAUUCACCUUGCUGAGGUGAUGUGUAAGAGGCUCAAACUUUGCAGCAGAAAACAUCCACCAAACCAUUAACCUCCCUCCUCCAAACUUAACUGGCUUCUUCACACUGGUGUGGGUGCAUUUGUUUUCCAGUUUUAGUGCAGAACAUGAUGCUUCCUGUGUGAAUUUAUCAUUAUACCAGUUCCUCUGUGUCCACGUGAUCUGUUCCUCUGCAGAUUUCAGUAUACUCUUUUGAUUCUUCCUGUUUGAUGAUUGGUUUGGUCACUGCGGGCUUUCAGUCUGAUUUCUGUAUACCAAGAAAGAACCUUACACCUUUUCAGACGAGAAUCGGCAUCAGUGUUGAAUCAAAUCUGUACUGAGACUUUUCUCCUCUUCUCCUUCGGCUUGUAUAGACGGCCAGCAUUUUAGAGGUAAACUGCUUGAAUAUUCUAGCAGUCAGUGCUCUUUCAACAACCGGCUCCUCUAAUACAUUCAGCCUCCACUUGAACCACAGCCAUCAACAACCAGCAGCUCCCCAUCUUUCAAAAUGAUUGUUCUCUAUUUUUAUGGGGUCUGUCAGAUCCCAAAGCGUUCUCUAGUUUUGAUCACGGUUCCUUUAGAAAUUUUCAUUAAAGUUUUUUUGCAGUUUUGUUGUACAGUAUUUAGAGUGUUUUCAAAUUCAACGCUAUUCUUCAAUGACAUCUUUUUAUUAGUGUUAGGGUAACUUUAAAUUAGAAUUGUUACAGCCUUGACUUUGUUCUCUAAUUUUGGUCUCUACUGUACAAUAGUGCCAUUUUUCUGGGUGUGCUUAGUUCGUAUUAAGUCGACUUCUCUUAACUCUCAUUUUGAGUCUUUUAUACAGCCUUUUAACCAGGCUGCAGUCAUAGCUUCUGAGUCUGUGUGAUGGGUAGAGCACAGACUAACUGGGUAAUAUUUAGAUUGGAAAACAGAUUAAUGUUCAAAAAGCGAGAGACAGGUUAAAUCCUACUGAGAUGAAACGUUUCAGCAUGCUUAGUUUUUUGCAUCCAGUAUGACGGUAAAUACCGUUUGAAAUUCUUAGUGCUGUGCAAAAGUUUCAAGCAAGUAAAGUGAGGAUAGUUUGCAUUUAUCAGCUGUUAACGUUUUACAGAUUGUGAAGUAGGGCGAAACCUAAAUGAAAUCAGUGCUUGGUGUGAGCAGCCUUUGCCUUUUAAAUCGGCACCAAUUCAUGUCGGUACACUUGCACAAAGUUCUUUUAAGUCAUUCGGAAGGCAGGUUGUUCCAGGAAUCCCAACAGUUCUCAUGUGGAUUUCCUCUGCCUGUGUCUUCUGUCUCUUCAUGUAAUCCCAGACUCACUCCGUGAUGUAGAGAUCAGAGUUCUGUGGGUGUUACACCAUCUGUUACAGGACUUCUUGUUCUUGUUGUGGCUGAAGUUAGUUUUUCAUGACUGGCUGUUGCGAGGCAUCUUCAUGCUGUAUAAUGAAUCUGGGCUGCUUUCCUGAAUAUGGUGUCUGAUAAAUGGGACUAAACAUCAGAAACUUCUGCACAGUACUAUUUAUUACUUUGUUAUAGAUUUACUCCGUAACGCCUUAUGCAGAGUAUAAAAAUGGCAUUUAUUUAAACAGUAAUGUAUAAUAGUAGAGUAAGUUAUAUAGUUAUGACAUAGGAAGAUCUCUUCUUCAGGGUUUUUCAGCCUUUUCUGCAGUCUACAUUAUUUUCAUACUAAUAAUAUUGCAGUGCACACACAGGCACACGCACACACAAUCAUG